CGGUAUUCUAAAAAAGUCUAAGAUUUUUCUUAAUUUUUUUCCUAAGUCUAAAAAAAUUGACUUAGGUAAGUCAAAAACUUAAGUCGGUAUUCAAUAUAAACUUAAGUCAGAGACUUAGCUAAGUCUGCGUAAAAAAACUUAGUCAGGUUCAUACCCAUGCGUGCGCAUGUUGUCAAGGGAAAUCCCAUGAAAAAUUUCCUGACGUCACGGGAUAUCCCCGGAAUUCCCCGGAUGUUUACAGCAGACGACACUCGUAAACAAAAUGACAGAUGUUGAUAACGCCGGUAGUUGUGGUAGUUCACGGAAAAGGCAGCCAAACUGGACGAAGGAUGAGUGCCUCCUAUUAGCGGAUCUCGUCAAGGCGAGCAAGCAAACGAUUGAGGGGGAAAUUUUCCCAGGGAGUGACGGCCACGAGUCGCCAGGAGACAUGGCAAAAAAUCACUGACACCAUCAAUUCAAUUGGACACCAACAAAGAAGCAAAGAUGAGGUUAUAAAGAAAUGGAAAAACCUUAAGAGUGCGGGCAAAAAAAUUACAGCACUUUCAAGAAUGCAACAACUGCAACCGUUACAGAAGCUGUGGUGGACUGUAUAGGCCGGGAGAAUACAGUGCUGACAGGGAUUGGGCCGAUGUCCAUGGAUUCUAGUUUCAUCCAGCUCCUAGAGCUAGAUCAGUCCUUUGAAAAAGAGUUAGAUCCAGUUCAAGAGGGAGUCAGAUGUCCUUUUCCUACAUCACAGGUGGGACAGUCAUCAUCAUCAGCAGCAGCAGCAGCAUCAGCAUCACUAUCAGCAGCAGCAUCCAUAUCAACAACUUCCUUAGAAGUCCUAGAAAGAGAGAAGUUUCUACUUGAGAUUGAAGUUCUAAAGUUACAGAAAACUUAUCUUCAAUCAAAAUUAAGGAAAUUAGAAGAAUAGCUGUAUCAAAUACUAGUAGUCAGUAUCAGUUUAUGUCUGUAUGACUAGUUCAACCUACACACAAAAAUCUUGAUUAAGCACAAAGCAUUGAAGUUAUGAUUUGUUGGUAUGUGUGACUUAUCCAUUAAUAUGAAAUAGAAUUUUGUGUCUAUUUAUGUCUAAUUAUUAACAUGUAUGAGUUGUACUGGGGUAUUUUUUUGACAAAAGUAAAUUUGGUCAUUGUAUCUAUAUGUAUCUCUCAAAGGUAGAUUUGCUCAAUGUUCAGAGCUAAUGACAGCAGAUUAACAAAAACUAAAAAAAUAACAGAAUAUGG
RNAcentral lists this unclassified non-coding RNA (1226 nucleotides) under Haliotis rubra (blacklip abalone). RNAcentral's name for it is "uncharacterized LOC124277322, transcript variant X1". Lineage: Eukaryota; Metazoa; Mollusca; Gastropoda; Lepetellida; Haliotidae. The record is from RNAcentral.